Long non-coding RNA from Rosa chinensis, 1625 nucleotides. RefSeq lists it as uncharacterized. The transcript is spliced from 3 exons. NCBI's taxonomy places the organism in Eukaryota, Viridiplantae, Streptophyta, Magnoliopsida, Rosales, Rosaceae. The record is from RefSeq and is a predicted model, not a curated record.
CUUCUCUCUCCUCCCGCACGCUCUCUCUUUCGCCUCUGCGCGUUUUCUCUCUCUCUCCUCUGCAACACCGGUUGCUUUCUCUUUCCGGCCACCAAAAAGCGUGAAACCGGUGGCUACGGACUCGUCUUGACCUCCUCUUGGCCCCUACGGUGGUGGCUCACGGCGGCUUGGCCGGAAAAUGACUCAUCGGGUCCUUGAAGUUUACUGUAGCAAGUGACCGUUGACCUGAAUUCCGGCCACCUCCGGCGAAAGCCAGGCUUUUUAGAAGCGCCUUGAGGUGUACUUGAAGCUCCCUAAAUACCUUGAAGCGAUUUGCAGCGUGGAGGAAGAAAGCAUAAUUAGAAAAUUUUACUCUACUUCGGUUUGCUUAAUUGUUCGGCCACUUAGAGGCCGAUAUACUGAGCUAUUACUCGAUGAAGGAACUCGUAUGCAUGAUCGCCUAAAUAGUACUGUGGUUCAUGGAGUGAUUCAAGAGAAAUAGGAGCUGAAAGGGAGCAAUGGAGCCAUAGAUCAUGAAGUACUAAUGCAGAGGACCAAGUUUUAUCAACCUUUUGGCCAGAAAUUACAAGGGAAGCCCACGGAAUUCAUUGUGCAAAACAGUUGCUGCAAAGCAGAAUACUGCAGUUUCAGAAUCAGCUUUCUGGGAACGGUUUUGAGGAGCAAUUAUUGCAUCAUUCCAUCUGCACCUAUGAAGAAAGGGCCAGCGAUCCUUGAAUACAUAAUGUUACACUUCAACAAGAGCCAAAUAACUGGUCAAAAUUGUCAACGAGGCAGUAGGAAAUCAAAGUCGAAAUAAGCUUCCCGAUAAGGCAGAAACUGUCAGCUUUUCACGAAGCUUUUUGGGAGAUCUUUUCCGGCGAUUUUCUUGGAGUUUUUCCAGAAUUUUAUUGAUCAUUCUAGAUGAUAUGAUGUCUUAUAGAACGUGGGAGUCAAGAACCAUCCAGAAACUUGUCAAGACGAAGUCGUUCCUUGUCCAAGAAAGAAGCUUCAGAGUCAGAAAUCGAAUCCUAGUCGAAACAGGACUGUUUGGCAGAUAUCUUUUGUGGACGAAUUUUGGGUGCAUUUUUGGAAGGUUAUUGCUGCUGCAAAUAUGAAGGAGAGUCGUAGAAUGAUUCCUCAAGAUUUUGGGAAGAUUAUUAAGGCUUGAAAAUCAUUUAAUUAUGCACCAAGUAGAGUAAUUCUCAAGCAACUAGGAGAGGCUUUCAAAGCGGAAUUGGAAAAGGAAACUUGGGCUGUGUAUUCUACAUAUAUAAAGGCUCUGAACACAUUGAAAAACACCAUCCUACAGCGCCAUCUUCUGCUCCCAAACCCUAGCACACAAAGUCUCAAAAAUUCCCAAGUCUUCAAGAAGGAAAACCGUGCAAUUCACCAUCCACUUCCAUCAAGCUACUGCCGUGCCCCAUCUUGAAGGAUUGCCUGCAUCUAAGGCUGCCUAAAAGUGAAUUCGUGGCUCUCAUACUCUGCUCUUUUACGGUUUUUAUCAUCUUGUAAUCUGAUACUCAUGUUUUUAAUUAUUGAAUUUAAGACGAUGUGUGGCUAGUUACUUUUUGUUAGGGGCGAGGUUUGAAGCCCCAAUUAUGUAGAACAUAUGUUUGUUUAAAUUUAGUUUCCUGAUCUUUGGUGUG